UGGGGGAUAUUGCACAAUGGGCGAAAGCCUGAUGCAGCGACGCCGCGUGGGGGAUGAAGGCCUUCGGGUUGUAAACUUCUUUUGCUCUGAACAAGGCAUGCCUUUGGGGUGUGUUGAGUGUAGGGGUUGAUUAGCGCCGGCUAACUACGUGCCAGCAGCCGCGGUAAUACGUAGGGCGCGAGCGUUGUCCGGAAUUAUUGGGCGUAAAGGGCUUGUAGGUGGCUGGUUGCGUCUGUCGUGAAAGCUCAUGGCUUAACUGUGGGUUUGCGGUGGGUACGGGCUGGCUUGAGUGCAGUAGGGGAGGCUGGAAUGCCUGGUGUAGCGGUAGAAUGCGCAGAUAUCAGGAGGAAUACCGGUGGCGAAGGCGGGUCUCUGGGCUGUUACUGACGCUGAGGAGCGAAAGCGUGGGGAGCGAACAGG
RNAcentral lists this ribosomal RNA (420 nucleotides) under Fusobacteriota bacterium. RNAcentral's name for it is "Fusobacteria bacterium partial 16S ribosomal RNA". It matches the Rfam family "Bacterial small subunit ribosomal RNA", at positions 355 to 776 of the family's 1533-position model. Lineage: Bacteria; Fusobacteriati; Fusobacteriota. The record is from RNAcentral.